GACGAACGCUGGCGGCGUGCUUAACACAUGCAAGUCGAACGGAAAGGCCCUGCUUUUGUGGGGUGCUCGAGUGGCGAACGGGUGAGUAACACGUGAGUAACCUGCCCUCGACUUUGGGAUAACUUCAGGAAACUGGGGCUAAUACCGGAUAGGAGCUCCUGCUGCAUGGUGGGGGUUGGAAAGUUUCGGCGGUUGGGGAUGGACUCGCGGCUUAUCAGCUUGUUGGUGGGGUAGUGGCUUACCAAGGCUUUGACGGGUAGCCGGCCUGAGAGGGUGACCGGCCACAUUGGGACUGAGAUACGGCCCAGACUCCUACGGGAGGCAGCAGUGGGGAAUAUUGCACAAUGGGCGGAAGCCUGAUGCAGCAACGCCGCGUGCGGGAUGACGGCCUUCGGGUUGUAAACCGCUUUCGCCUGUGACGAAGCGUGAGUGACGGUAAUGGGUAAAGAAGCACCGGAUAACUACGUG
RNAcentral lists this ribosomal RNA (468 nucleotides) under uncultured bacterium. Its description in RNAcentral is "partial 16S ribosomal RNA". It matches the Rfam family "Bacterial small subunit ribosomal RNA", at positions 28 to 507 of the family's 1533-position model. The record is from RNAcentral.